GCCUGGGUGGCUCAGUCGGUUAAGCGUCUGACUUCAGCUCAGGUCAUGAUCUUAUGAUUUGUGAGUUCAAGUCCUGUAUCAGGCU
Felis catus (domestic cat) is the source of this 85-nucleotide transfer RNA. It matches the Rfam family "tRNA". From Rfam's summary of the family: Transfer RNA (tRNA) molecules are approximately 80 nucleotides in length. Their secondary structure includes four short double-helical elements and three loops (D, anti-codon, and T loops). Lineage: Eukaryota; Metazoa; Chordata; Mammalia; Carnivora; Felidae. The record is from Rfam.